CAGAGUUUUUAACUCCCAAACCCAACCGUGCUCUAAAACUUUUCUACUUGCUGCGGCGGGCCGCUCGCUGGGGGAGCCUGCGGCCUGUAAAGGUGGCCCGCCGAAGCAAACUUAUACUACCUUUUUGAAAGCUUAUAAAAAUACUUUCUAUAAAGAAAAUCA
Molecule: unclassified non-coding RNA, 162 nt
Filed under: uncultured fungus
Lineage: Eukaryota; Fungi
Description: sequence contains ITS1, 5.8S rRNA gene
Source: RNAcentral